UACGGAGUGGGCUAGCGUUGUUCGGAAUUACUGGGCGUAAAGCGCACGUAGGCGGCUUUGUAAGUUAGAGUUGAAAGCCCGGGGCUCAACUCCGGAAUUGCCUUUAAGACUGCAUCGCUAGAAUUGUGGAGAGGUAAGUGGAAUUCCGAGUGUAGAGGUGAAAUGCGUAGAUAUCGGAAGGAACACCUGUGGCGAAAGCGGCUCACUGGACCAUUACUGACGCUGAUGCACGAAAGCUAGGGGAGCAAACAGG
RNAcentral lists this ribosomal RNA (253 nucleotides) under uncultured bacterium. Its description in RNAcentral is "partial 16S ribosomal RNA". It matches the Rfam family "Bacterial small subunit ribosomal RNA", at positions 524 to 776 of the family's 1533-position model. The record is from RNAcentral.